GAUGAUCGCUGGCGGCGUGCCUAAUACAUGCAAGUCGAGCGAACGGACGAGAAGCUUGCUUCUCUGAUGUUAGCGGCGGACGGGUGAGUAACACGUGGAUAACCCACCUAUAAUACUGGUAUAACUUCGGGAAACCGGAGCUAAUACCGGAUAAUAUUUUGUACCGCAUGGUUCAAAAGUGAAAGACGGUCUUGCUGUCACUUAUAGAUGGAUCCGCGCUGCAUUAGCUAGUUGGUAAGGUAACGGCUUAUCAAGGCAACGAUGCGUAUCCGACCUGAUAGGGUGAUCGGCGACCCGGGCACUUAGACACUGUCCAGGCUCCUACGGGACGCACCAGUAGGGAAUCUGACGCAGUGGGGGAAAGUCUGACGGAGCAACGGUGCGUGAGUGAUAAAGGUCUUGGGAUCGUAAAACUCUGUUACUGGGCAAGAACAUAUGUGUAAGUUACUGUGGACAUCGUGACGGUAACGAAUCAGGAAGCCACGGCUAACUACGUG
RNAcentral lists this ribosomal RNA (497 nucleotides) under uncultured bacterium. RNAcentral describes it as "partial 16S ribosomal RNA". It matches the Rfam family "Bacterial small subunit ribosomal RNA", at positions 28 to 507 of the family's 1533-position model. The record is from RNAcentral.